Molecule: ribosomal RNA, 465 nt
Filed under: uncultured bacterium
Lineage: Bacteria
Description: partial 16S ribosomal RNA
Rfam family: Bacterial small subunit ribosomal RNA
Source: RNAcentral
CCUACGGGAGACAGCAGUAGGGAAUCUUCCACCAUGGGCGAAAGCCUGAUGGAGCAACGCCGCGUGGGUGAAGAAGGUCUUCGGAUCGUAAAACCCUGUUGUUAGAGAAGAAAGUGCGUGAGAGUAACUGUUCACGUUUCGACGGUAUCUAACCAGAAAGCCACGGCUAACUAACUGCCAGCAGCCGCGGUAAUACGUAGGUGGCAAGGGUUAGCCGGAUUUUUUGGGCGUAAAGGGAACGCAGGCGGUCUUUUAAGUCUGAUGUGAAAGCCUUCGGCUUAACCGGAGUAGUGCAUUGGAAACUGGGAGACUUGAGUGCAGAAGAGGAGAGUGGAACUCCAUGUGUAGCGGUGAAAUGCGUAGAUAUAUGGAAGAACACCAGUGGCGAAAGCGGCUCUCUGGUCUGUAACUGACGCUGAGGUUCGAAAGCGUGGGUAGCAAACAGGAUUAGAUACCCCGGUAGUC